AAAUUGAAGAGUUUGAUCAUGGCUCAGAUUGAACGCUGGCGGCAGGCCUAACACAUGCAAGUCGAACGGUAGCACAGAGAGCUUGCUCUCGGGUGACGAGUGGCGGACGGGUGAGUAAUGUCUGGGAAACUGCCUGAUGGAGGGGGAUAACUACUGGAAACGGUGGCUAAUACCGCAUAACGUCGCAAGACCAAAGAGGGGGACCUUCGGGCCUCUUGCCAUCAGAUGUGCCCAGAUGGGAUUAGCUAGUUGGUGAGGUAACGGCUCACCAAGGCGACGAUCCCUAGCUGGUCUGAGAGGAUGACCAGCCACACUGGAACUGAGACACGGUCCAGACUCCUACGGGAGGCAGCAGUGGGGAAUAUUGCACAAUGGGCGCAAGCCUGAUGCAGCCAUGCCGCGUGUAUGAAGAAGGCCUUCGGGUUGUAAAGUACUUUCAGCGGGGAGGAAGGUGUUGUGGUUAAUAACCGCAGCAAUUGACGUUACCCGCAGAAGAAGCACCGGCUAACUCCGUGCCAGCAGCCGCGGUAAUACGGAGGGUGCAAGCGUUAAUCGGAAUUACUGGGCGUAAAGCGCACGCAGGCGGUCUGUCAAGUCGGAUGUGAAAUCCCCGGGCUCAACCUGGGAACUGCAUUCGAAACUGGCAGGCUUGAGUCUUGUAGAGGGGGGUAGAAUUCCAGGUGUAGCGGUGAAAUGCGUAGAGAUCUGGAGGAAUACCGGUGGCGAAGGCGGCCCCCUGGACAAAGACUGACGCUCAGGUGCGAAAGCGUGGGGAGCAAACAGGAUUAGAUACCCUGGUAGUCCACGCCGUAAACGAUGUCUACUUGGAGGUUGUGCCCUUGAGGCGUGGCUUCCGGAGCUAACGCGUUAAGUAGACCGCCUGGGGAGUACGGCCGCAAGGUUAAAACUCAAAUGAAUUGACGGGGGCCCGCACAAGCGGUGGAGCAUGUGGUUUAAUUCGAUGCAACGCGAAGAACCUUACCUGGUCUUGACAUCCACAGAACUUUCCAGAGAUGGAUUGGUGCCUUCGGGAACUGUGAGACAGGUGCUGCAUGGCUGUCGUCAGCUCGUGUUGUGAAAUGUUGGGUUAAGUCCCGCAACGAGCGCAACCCUUAUCCUUUGUUGCCAGCGAUUAGGUCGGGAACUCAAAGGAGACUGCCAGUGAUAAACUGGAGGAAGGUGGGGAUGACGUCAAGUCAUCAUGGCCCUUACGACCAGGGCUACACACGUGCUACAAUGGCGCAUACAAAGAGAAGCGACCUCGCGAGAGCAAGCGGACCUCAUAAAGUGCGUCGUAGUCCGGAUUGGAGUCUGCAACUCGACUCCAUGAAGUCGGAAUCGCUAGUAAUCGUGGAUCAGAAUGCCACGGUGAAUACGUUCCCGGGCCUUGUACACACCGCCCGUCACACCAUGGGAGUGGGUUGCAAAAGAAGUAGGUAGCUUAACCUUCGGGAGGGCGCUUACCACUUUGUGAUUCAUGACUGGGGUGAAGUCGUAACAAGGUAACCGUAGGGGAACCUGCGGUUGGAUCACCUCCUUACCUUAAAGAAGC
Molecule: ribosomal RNA, 1552 nt
Filed under: Salmonella enterica subsp. enterica serovar Muenchen
Lineage: Bacteria; Pseudomonadati; Pseudomonadota; Gammaproteobacteria; Enterobacterales; Enterobacteriaceae
Description: bacterial SSU rRNA
Rfam family: Bacterial small subunit ribosomal RNA
Source: RNAcentral